RNAcentral lists this ribosomal RNA (722 nucleotides) under uncultured cyanobacterium. RNAcentral describes it as "bacterial SSU rRNA". It matches the Rfam family "Bacterial small subunit ribosomal RNA", at positions 676 to 1398 of the family's 1533-position model. Lineage: Bacteria; Bacillati; Cyanobacteriota. The record is from RNAcentral.
UAGCGGUGAAAUGCGUAGAUAUCGGGAAGAACACCAGUGGCGAAAGCGCCCUACUGGGCCAUCACUGACGCUCAUGGACGAAAGCCAGGGGAGCGAAAGGGAUUAGAUACCCCUGUAGUCCUGGCCGUAAACGAUGAACACUAGGUGUCGGGGGAAUCGACCCCUCCGGUGUCGUAGCCAACGCGUUAAGUGUUCCGCCUGGGGAGUACGCACGCAAGUGUGAAACUCAAAGGAAUUGACGGGGGCCCGCACAAGCGGUGGAGUAUGUGGUUUAAUUCGAUGCAACGCGAAGAACCUUACCAGGGCUUGACAUCCUGCGAAUCUCUGGGAAACCGGAGAGUGCCUUCGGGAACGCAGUGACAGGUGGUGCAUGGCUGUCGUCAGCUCGUGUCGUGAGAUGUUGGGUUAAGUCCCGCAACGAGCGCAACCCACGUCUUUAGUUGCCAGCAUUUAGUUGGGCACUCUAGAGAGACCGCCGGUGACAAACCGGAGGAAGGUGUGGAUGACGUCAAGUCAUCAUGCCCCUUACGUCCUGGGCUACACACGUACUACAAUGCUACGGACAAAGAGCAGCUAACUCGCGAGAGUACGCAAAUCUCAUAAACCGUGGCUCAGUUCAGAUCGUAGGCUGCAACUCGCCUACGUGAAGGAGGAAUCGCUAGUAAUCGCAGGUCAGCAUACUGCGGUGAAUACGUUCCCGGGCCUUGUACACACCGCCCGUC